This 24-nucleotide non-coding RNA is filed under the name Arabidopsis thaliana (thale cress). Lineage: Eukaryota; Viridiplantae; Streptophyta; Magnoliopsida; Brassicales; Brassicaceae. The record is from RNAcentral.
UAACAUGGAUGUCGUCGGAUCAAC